This 497-nucleotide ribosomal RNA is filed under the name uncultured bacterium. RNAcentral's name for it is "partial 16S ribosomal RNA". It matches the Rfam family "Bacterial small subunit ribosomal RNA", at positions 28 to 507 of the family's 1533-position model. The record is from RNAcentral.
GAUGAACGCUGGCGGCGUGCCUAAUACAUGCAAGUCGAGCGAACGGACGAGGAGCUUGCGGCUCUGAUGUUAGCGGCGGACGGGUGAGUAACACGUGGAUAACCUACCUAUAAGACUGGGAUAACUUCGGGAAACGGGAGCUAAUACCGGAUGAUAUUUUGAACCGCAUGGGGCAAAAGUGAAAGACGGUCUUGCGGUCACGAAUAGAUGGAUCCGCGCUGCAUUAGGUAGUUGGGAAGGUAAAGGCUUACCAAGGCAACGAUGCAUAGCCGAGCGCAGAGGGUGAUCGGCCACCCUGGAGCUGAGACGCCGUCCAGGCUCCUGCGGGAGGCAGCAGUAGGGUAUCUUCCGCAAUGGGCGAGAGCCUGACGGAGCAGCGCCGCGUGAGUUAUGAAGGUCCUCGGAUCGUAAAGCUCUGUUAUUAGUGGAGAACAUAUGUGUAAGUAACCGUGCACAUCUUGACGGUACCUAAUCAGAAAGCCCCGGCUAACUACGUG